GUCCGAGCGGUUGAAGGAGCUAGUCUCGAAAACUAGUAGCGGGCUUGUCCUGCUCGUGGGUUCGAAUCCCACC
This 73-nucleotide transfer RNA is filed under the name Planctomycetota bacterium. Its description in RNAcentral is "Planctomycetes bacterium (mine drainage metagenome) tRNA-Ser". It matches the Rfam family "tRNA", at positions 9 to 64 of the family's 71-position model. From Rfam's summary of the family: Transfer RNA (tRNA) molecules are approximately 80 nucleotides in length. Their secondary structure includes four short double-helical elements and three loops (D, anti-codon, and T loops). The record is from RNAcentral. Lineage: Bacteria; Pseudomonadati; Planctomycetota.